GAAAUUCGAAUGAUGCUCAGUAUUUUGUGAAUUGUUAAACCAAUUGCAUGCAUUUAAAAUUCUUUUUUCUGUUUACUUGGGUUAUGUUUACUGGCAAAAUAUCCUCACUUCUGGCAUAACCAGUCCAUUCAAUUUCGAUUCAAUAAAAGCUUAAAUCAUUUGUUGGUCAAACGUGCAGUUUGGUUUCAGUUAACUGGUCACAUUUAAUGAGAAUCGAUUUCAGCGUAAAGACAGUCAUGUCGUUGGGAAUUAAGUUAUUUUUGCCAUUGGUAGUGAUUCUCUGCAUCACAAACACAAUCAAUGCUCAGCAUUCAUUUCCGUCAGCGAAAAGUUGUCACUUGCUCAAAAACUCGAUAGUACGUUUAACGGGAUUAUGCGAGUUGAGAAAAUGUCACGUUGAUUAUAACCACAUCUCUUGUCAUAUAUAUAAAGGUUUAACAUUGUGUGACUGCAAAAAAGGCUACGUGUUCAAUCCGUGCAAUGGGCAAUGUGUUAGGCCCAGAAACUGCCCAAAGAUGAAUGGAAACACCGCGAACUGUCAAGAAAAACGUUAUUAUGCAGAUACAGAGUAUAAGCCUGUGGGUAUUCGAACGGUUGGCCGGUCCUGAAUUAAAGGAGAAAACACAAAAUUUCGUCAUUCGUCAUUAGAAAGAAGAAGCAAAUGAUUGUAUUCUUAAGUGUAUUUAUACUAGUUUUGCUAAAUAAUGAAAUGCCACAUUUUUAUUUGCGGAUUAAGAAAAAUAACAUGAUAAUCGAGCGCGUCACAUAUGUUGUACGUGAAUCAGUGCGCAAAGCGUCAAAGUUGAAAAUAAAACAUUUGAUAAUAAUAAAAUUGAUUUGUUUGCCACGGCUGGUGGUCUCACUGUUGAAUUGUUUGUGUUGUUCACUGGGACGCAAAUCUGGCGAUUUCCAUUCCGACAAUCAGUUUGAGUUUUUUUUUUUUGCUCUCGUAUGAAACGUGCAUGAUAACAAAGUUGUUUUCCUCGGUUACAUUCGAUAUUUUUUUCAUCUGAAAUCGCACUAGAUACGGUGGUAUAAAUGUUACGAACUGAGAGAAUGCCGCUCAGUCUAUUGUUGAAUCAAUCAUUUGCUAAAUUGUUAUUGCCAAUAUUGCUAUUCUGUUGCAAAGAAAUUCAUUUUGAAGAGAAAAGUAAUCAUGUCGUUGGAAAUUAAGUUAUUUUUGGCUUUGGUGGUGGUAAUCAGCAUCACAAACACAAUCAAUGCUCAGCAUUCAUUUCCAUCACCGAGCAGUUGCCACUUGCUCAAGAACUCGAUGGUGCGUUUAACGGGAGUAUGCGAGUUGAGGAAAUGCCACGUUGAUUAUCAUCACAUCUCUUGUCACAUGUUCAAAGGAUUAACAUUGUGUGACUGUAAAAAAGGCUACGUGUUCAAUCCGUGCAAUGGGCAAUGUGUUAGGCCCAGACAUUGUCCAAAGAUGAAUGGAAACACCCCGGAUUGUAAGGAGAAACGUCAUUAUGUAGAUACAGUGUUCAAGCCUGUGGGCGUUCGAAGAGCUGACCAGUCCUAAAUCAAUGGAGAAAACACAAAAUUUCUUCAUUAGAGAAGCUGUAAAGAGAGAAGAAACCAAUGAUCGUAUUUUUAAGUGUAUUAACUUAGUUAGUAUUGCGAAGUAAUGAAAUGCGUUAAAAAGUUAAAAAUGUAUUAAAGACUCGUUUUGAGCGAAUUAUUCGUUCGAAAAAAGAAGAAAUCAUGUAGUAUUGUUUAAGUGAUGACAUUGAAAAUUUAUGUUUAUGAAUAAGAAUAAGAAUAACUAAAUUAUUACAAAUUAUAAACGCUAUCAAUUAAAAAUGCAAAAUCUAAAUUGUAUCGAAAAAUGUAUUCAUAUGAUCAUAAUAAUAGAAUAAAGAGAUUACACUUACGUAAAAAAAGAUUUGUUGCCAUGGCUGGUGGUCUCACUGUUGAAUUGUUUGUGUAGUUCAAACGUACGCAAAUCUGGCGAUUUCCAUUUCGACAAUAAAUACGAGUCAAUUUUUUGCUCCCGUAUGAAACGUGCAUGAUAACAAAGUUGUUUUCUUGGAUUAUACUCAAUAUUUUUUCAUCUGAUUUUCCCAUCAGAUACGGUGGUAUAAAUGUUGCGAACUGAGAGAAUGGCGCUCAGUCUAUUGUUGAUUAUUGAAUCAGUCAUUUGCUAAAUUGUUACUACUAAUUGUGGCAUCAGAAUCAAUUUCGAAGAGAAAAGUAAUCAUGUCGUUGGUAAUUAAGUUAUUUUUGGCUUUGGUGGUUAUCCUUAGCGUCACAAACACAAUAAAUGCACAGUAUGGUCGUCCGAAAACAACAAAUUGUCAUUUGCAUAAGAAUAUGAUUGUACACACAACUGGACUAUGUGAGCUGCGAAAGUGCCAUAUUGAAAAUACCUUGGCUUGCCAUAUAUUCCGGGGAAUAGAAAUGUGCGACUGUAAAAGAGGGUACUUGUUCAACCAGUGCACUGGCGAGUGCGUCCGACCAAAGCAAUGUCCAAAGAUUGUCAAAGGAAAAGUGAUUUGCGAUUAGGCGGUCAAAACAAUCUAGCUGUUACGCAUCCCUAAUUUAACGGAGAAAUAGUGUUGAAAAGUUGAAAAUGUGUUAAAGACUCGUUCUGAGCCAAUUUUUCGUUCGAAAAAAGAAGAAAUCAUAUGGUUUUGUUAAGUGUAUUCAUUAGUAUUGUCAUUGUUGACAUUGAAUAUUUAUGUUUAUGAAUAAGAAUAAGGAAAAUUAAUUCAUGUUAUCAAAUAAACACACAAAGUUUAAAUUUUAUCGAAAAAUGUAUCAAUAUGAUGAUAAUAAUAGAAUAAAAAGAUUACAU
This is a long non-coding RNA of Sitodiplosis mosellana (orange wheat blossom midge), 2803 nucleotides long. RefSeq lists it as uncharacterized. The transcript is spliced from 4 exons. Lineage: Eukaryota; Metazoa; Arthropoda; Insecta; Diptera; Cecidomyiidae. The record is from RefSeq and is a predicted model, not a curated record.